This 538-nucleotide long non-coding RNA is filed under the name Mytilus galloprovincialis (Mediterranean mussel). Lineage: Eukaryota; Metazoa; Mollusca; Bivalvia; Mytilida; Mytilidae. The record is from RNAcentral.
AUAUCUAUCACUUCUGUGCAUGUCUCACCUAUAUAUAGCUAGUUUCGAGUGAUUUAAACGACUCAGAGAAAAUACUCAAUUUUACAAUCCAUACUAAGACAGAUUGCUGGUAUUUUCUCUGACUCGAAACAAGGUGAGACAUGUACAAAAGUGAUAGAUAUGUAUAAUUAAUAUAGAAAACUGAAUAUCUUAAUCAACGGAAAAAAAAGACAAAAACAUAUUUGUAUUCUUUGAUAUCAAGUUCAAUUAUCCAUGCAGAAACGAAAAAUAUUUCUGUGUCCAGUAUAGCAUCGUAGAUAGAUAUCGGAAGAUGUGGUAUUAGUGCCAAUGAGACAACUCUCCAUCCAAAUAACAAUUUAUAAAAGUAACCAUUAUAAGUCAAUGUACGGCCUUCAACACGGAGCCUUGGCUAACACCGAACAAAAAGCGAGGCUAUAAAGGGCCCCAUAAUUACUAGUGUAAAACCAUGCAAACGAGUAAACCAACGGUCUAAUCUAUAUAAAAAACGAGAGCAUAUUCUUAAAAUAUUUUCCCGCAC